AGUGAACGCUGGCGGUAGGCCUAACACAUGCAAGUCGAACGGCAGCACAGUAAGAGCUUGCUCUUACGGGUGGCGAGUGGCGGACGGGUGAGGAAUACAUCGGAAUCUACUUUUUCGUGGGGGAUAACGUAGGGAAACUUACGCUAAUACCGCAUACGACCUACGGGUGAAAGCAGGGGAUCUUCGGACCUUGCGCGACUGAAUGAGCCGAUGUCGGAUUAGCUAGUUGGCGGGGUAAAGGCCCACCAAGGCGACGAUCCGUAGCUGGUCUGAGAGGAUGAUCAGCCACACUGGAACUGAGACACGGUCCAGACUCCUACGGGAGGCAGCAGUAGGGAAUAUUGGACAAAGGGCGCAAGCCUGAUCCAGCCAUACCGCGUGGGUGAAGAAGGCCUUCGGGUUGUAAAGCCCUUUUGUUGGGAAAGAAAAGCAGCAGGUUAAUACCCCGCUGUUCUGACGGUACCCAAAGAAUAAGCACCGGCUAACUUCGUG
RNAcentral lists this ribosomal RNA (492 nucleotides) under uncultured bacterium. RNAcentral describes it as "partial 16S ribosomal RNA". It matches the Rfam family "Bacterial small subunit ribosomal RNA", at positions 29 to 507 of the family's 1533-position model. The record is from RNAcentral.